RNAcentral lists this ribosomal RNA (1036 nucleotides) under Acinetobacter sp. G13. Its description in RNAcentral is "bacterial SSU rRNA". It matches the Rfam family "Bacterial small subunit ribosomal RNA", at positions 46 to 1074 of the family's 1533-position model. The record is from RNAcentral. Lineage: Bacteria; Pseudomonadati; Pseudomonadota; Gammaproteobacteria; Moraxellales; Moraxellaceae.
GCGCUUACCAUGCAAGUCGAGCGGGGGAGGUUGCUUCGGUAACUGACCUAGCGGCGGACGGGUGAGUAAUACUUAGGAAUCUGCCUAUUAAUGGGGGACAACAUCUCGAAAGGGAUGCUAAUACCGCAUACGCCCUACGGGGGAAAGCAGGGGAUCACUUGUGACCUUGCGUUAAUAGAUGAGCCUAAGUCGGAUUAGCUAGUUGGUGGGGUAAAGGCCUACCAAGGCGACGAUCUGUAGCGGGUCUGAGAGGAUGAUCCGCCACACUGGGACUGAGACACGGCCCAGACUCCUACGGGAGGCAGCAGUGGGGAAUAUUGGACAAUGGGGGGAACCCUGAUCCAGCCAUGCCGCGUGUGUGAAGAAGGCCUUAUGGUUGUAAAGCACUUUAAGCGAGGAGGAGGCUCUUUUGGUUAAUACCCAAGAUGAGUGGACGUUACUCGCAGAAUAAGCACCGGCUAACUCUGUGCCAGCAGCCGCGGUAAUACAGAGGGUGCGAGCGUUAAUCGGAUUUACUGGGCGUAAAGCGUGCGUAGGCGGCUUUUUAAGUCGGAUGUGAAAUCCCCGAGCUUAACUUGGGAAUUGCAUUCGAUACUGGGAAGCUAGAGUAUGGGAGAGGAUGGUAGAAUUCCAGGUGUAGCGGUGAAAUGCGUAGAGAUCUGGAGGAAUACCGAUGGCGAAGGCAGCCAUCUGGCCUAAUACUGACGCUGAGGUACGAAAGCAUGGGGAGCAAACAGGAUUAGAUACCCUGGUAGUCCAUGCCGUAAACGAUGUCUACUAGCCGUUGGGGUCUUUGAGACUUUAGUGGCGCAGCUAACGCGAUAAGUAGACCGCCUGGGGAGUACGGUCGCAAGACUAAAACUCAAAUGAAUUGACGGGGGCCCGCACAAGCGGUGGAGCAUGUGGUUUAAUUCGAUGCAACGCGAAGAACCUUACCUGGUCUUGACAUAGUAAGAACUUUCCAGAGAUGGAUUGGUGCCUUCGGGAACUUACAUACAGGUGCUGCAUGGCUGUCGUCAGCUCGUGUCGUGAGAUG